RNAcentral lists this long non-coding RNA (952 nucleotides) under Cyanistes caeruleus (blue tit). RNAcentral's name for it is "lncRNA (ENSCCEG00000011862.1)". Lineage: Eukaryota; Metazoa; Chordata; Aves; Passeriformes; Paridae. The record is from RNAcentral.
UGUUGCAAAAUAUGUGUCUCCAACAGUGGUAAAACCUCAAUAAAUAUGAUUUAACAAUUCUUUGUAUUUAAUACAUAGUUGUGCUAUUGAGCAGAAAAAAAAAUAAGGCUUAAUAAAAAGUUUGACCAUGAGGUGGGUGAGCUAGAAAAGCCAGUCUUUGACACCUGUUUAGUGAAAGGCAUGCACAAUUAAAAGUAAAUGAGAAGAAACUGGUGUUUAUUAAGAAUUCCUAAUUAUUGGUCCUGUGCUGGGUGUGAACCGGUGCUUUAUAAUCUGAUAAAGCUGUGCUGGGAGGCUUCAGGCUUAACAUUAGGGAGCUGAGAGGGUGGCCAGACGCUAUAAUCGGCUUUCUAGAGAGGUGAUUUGUGUCCCAAGCCUGUCAGUGAUAAGGGGUAUUUGCACAAUGCUCUUAAUGUGUGUUAACUCUUGGUCAGGCAGUUGGGCUGGAGGAUUGUGGUGUGUCCAUUCCAACUGAGUUUUCUGUAUUGAAGGAUAAAUGCUCAAUGAAGCUCUGCAGGCUGUUAAGAUCAAGAAGUGCAAAGUGAAAUUUAAAAUGGCUGGUGAUAUCUAGAACAGUGUGAUGAUGUACUCAGAGCUUCUGAAGUAUUCUCAGCUUGGUGUUUCACAGUUUAGAAGUUAAAGAUUUCAUGUUGUGCUCUCUGUGAGGUGAUGGGCGUACCUGUAAACAUGUGGAACUCCCGGGUCUCUGCAGUGAAGAAGUUUAGUUUGCAUAAGAAUUUGCAAAAGAAUGGUAGCAGUUCUGGAAAAGGCUUCUGAGUAUAACCUUCAACAUAGACACCAGAGACAGUACUGGCCAUGGCUAUGGAAAAUUAGCUCAUCUGACCCUUCUCAAGCAAUCAAUCAGCUGACUCUAUUGUAUUUGUUACGAGACGCCAUCACAGAUGUUCAGAGGCUGGCUGAUGAGCUGAAAAGAUCUGGGAGCCACAUGUGA